GAUGAAGAACGCAGCGAAAUGCGAUACUUGGUGUGAAUUGCAGAAUCCCGCGAAUCAUCGAGUUUUUGAACGCAAGUUGCGCCCGAAGCCAUUCGGCCGAGGGCACGUCUGCCUGGGUGUCACGCAUCGUUGCCCCCCCAAACUCCGGUUCGGGCAGGGCGGAAGUUGGCCUCCCGUGCGUGCCUGCGCGCGCGGUUAGCCCAAAAGCGAGUCCUCGGCGACGAGCGCCACGACAAUCGGUGGUUUUUUUACCCUCGUUCCUCGUCGUGCGUGCCCCGUCGCCCGAACGCGCUCUUGCGACCCUUACGCGUCGCCUCGGUGGCGCUCCCAACGCGACCCCAGGUCAGGCGGGACUACCCGCUGAGUUUAAGCAUAUCAAUAAGCGGAGGA
This 390-nucleotide unclassified non-coding RNA is filed under the name soil metagenome. RNAcentral's name for it is "partial contains 5.8S ribosomal RNA, internal transcribed spacer 2, and large subunit ribosomal RNA". The stretch from base 1 to 122 matches the Rfam family "5.8S ribosomal RNA", at positions 35 to 154 of the family's 154-position model. The record is from RNAcentral.